Molecule: ribosomal RNA, 649 nt
Filed under: Microbotryum bistortarum
Lineage: Eukaryota; Fungi; Basidiomycota; Microbotryomycetes; Microbotryales; Microbotryaceae
Description: LSU rRNA
Rfam family: Eukaryotic large subunit ribosomal RNA
Source: RNAcentral
UACCCGCUGAACUUAAGCAUAUCAAUAAGCGGAGGAAAAGAAACUAACAAGGAUUCCCCUAGUAACGGCGAGUGAAGCGGGAAAAGCUCAAAUUUGUAAUCUGGCACUUUCAGUGUCCGAGUUGUAAUCUCGAGAAGUAUUUUCCGCGCCGGACCGCACAUAAGUCUGUUGGAACACAGCGUCAUAGUGGUGAGAACCCCGUAUAUGGUGCGGAUGCCCGGUGCUUUGUGAUAUACUUUCGAAGAGUCGAGUUGUUUGGGAUUGCAGCUCAAAUUGGGUGGUAAAUUCCAUCUAAAGCUAAAUAUUGGCGAGAGACCGAUAGCGAACAAGUACCGUGAGGGAAAGAUGAAAAGCACUUUGGAAAGAGAGUUAACAGUACGUGAAAUUGUUGGAAGGGAAACGCUUGAAGUCAGACUUGCAUUUUGGAGUUCAGCCGCAAGGUGUAUUCUUCAAUUCGCAGGCCAGCAUCAGUUUUCGGGGGUGGAAAAUCGUGGUUUGAAGGUAGCAAUUUCGGUUGUGUUAUAGCUUUCCGCUGGAUUCACUUUUGGGGACUGAGGAACGCAGUACGCUUUUUGCAAGACUUUCGAGUUUUUCGUACUUAGGAUGCUGGUGGAAUGGCUUUAAACGACCCGUCUUGAAACACGGACCA